AUUGAACGCUGGCGGCAGGCCUAACACAUGCAAGUCGAGCGGAUGAAGGGAGCUUGCUCCUGGAUUCAGCGGCGGACGGGUGAGUAAUGCCUAGGAAUCUGCCUGGUAGUGGGGGAUAACGUCCGGAAACGGGCGCUAAUACCGCAUACGUCCUGAGGGAGAAAGUGGGGGAUCUUCGGACCUCACGCUAUCAGAUGAGCCUAGGUCGGAUUAGCUAGUUGGUGGGGUAAAGGCCUACCAAGGCGACGAUCCGUAACUGGUCUGAGAGGAUGAUCAGUCACACUGGAACUGAGACACGGUCCAGACUCCUACGGGAGGCAGCAGUGGGGAAUAUUGGACAAUGGGCGGAAGCCUGAUCCAGCCAUGCCGCGUGUGUGAAGAAGGUCUUCGGACUGUAAAGCACUUUAAGUUGGGAGGAAGGGCAGUAAGUUAAUACCUUGCUGUUUUGACGUUACCAACAGAAUAAGCACCGGCUAACUUCGU
RNAcentral lists this ribosomal RNA (483 nucleotides) under uncultured bacterium. RNAcentral describes it as "partial 16S ribosomal RNA". It matches the Rfam family "Bacterial small subunit ribosomal RNA", at positions 30 to 506 of the family's 1533-position model. The record is from RNAcentral.